Molecule: ribosomal RNA, 398 nt
Filed under: uncultured bacterium
Lineage: Bacteria
Description: partial 16S ribosomal RNA
Rfam family: Bacterial small subunit ribosomal RNA
Source: RNAcentral
AUACGUAGGGUGCGAGCGUUGUCCGGAAUUACUGGGCGUAAAGAGCUCGUAGGUGGUUUGUCGCGUCGUCUGUGAAAUUCCGGGGCUUAACUCCGGGCGUGCAGGCGAUACGGGCAUAACUUGAGUACUGUAGGGGAGACUGGAAUUCCUGGUGUAGCGGUGAAAUGCGCAGAUAUCAGGAGGAACACCGGUGGCGAAGGCGGGUCUCGGGGCAGUAACUGACGCUGGGGAGCGAAAGCAUGGGUAGCGACCAGGAUUAGAUACCCGGGUAGUCCAUGCCGUAAACGGUGGGCGCUAGGUGUAGGGGUCUUCCACGACUUCUGUGCCGUAGCUAACGCAUUAAGCGCCCCGCCUGGGGAGUACGGCCGCAAGGCUAAAACUCAAAGGAAUUGACGGGG